GAGCCGUUAGCUCAGACGGAAGAGCACCUGACUUUUAAUCAGGGGGUCCCGGGUUCGAGUCCCGGACGGCUCACCA
Molecule: transfer RNA, 76 nt
Filed under: Gemmataceae bacterium
Lineage: Bacteria; Pseudomonadati; Planctomycetota; Planctomycetia; Gemmatales; Gemmataceae
Also listed under: 2 other names
Description: tRNA-Lys
Rfam family: tRNA
About the family: Transfer RNA (tRNA) molecules are approximately 80 nucleotides in length. Their secondary structure includes four short double-helical elements and three loops (D, anti-codon, and T loops).
Source: RNAcentral